Molecule: long non-coding RNA, 3865 nt
Organism: Papaver somniferum (opium poppy)
Lineage: Eukaryota; Viridiplantae; Streptophyta; Magnoliopsida; Ranunculales; Papaveraceae
Exons: 3
Source: RefSeq, a predicted model, not a curated record
UUCUUCUUUCUUUCUUUUCUUCUCAUGUUUUUCCUUCUCUGUCGAAUUCGAGAGAUUAAACGGUAGUUUUGUGAUCGAUAGGAGGUGUAGAAGAUUAUGCAGUAGUUUGCGGUGAUGCUGAUGGUGUCUGUUGCUGAAUCAGACUCGAAGGAGGAAGUGAAAUUAAGAAUUGGGUUUUCUUAAUAAGUUCUGUGAAGAUGUAGAUGGUGAAAUUGAGUAAUUAGGGAGAAGAUUAGAGAUGGGUUGUGUUGACAUGAAGAUUUAGAUUGUGUUUUAGUGUUCGAAUCAUAGAAGAAGAGAUUUGGAAUAUUAUGGUUCUUGAAUUAGUUGAGGGUUUGUGUGAAAUUAAGGAUGGAUGUAAGCAAUUGAAGAUGGGUUUGUUUAGAUUGAAGUAGAAUCAAGUAUAUGGAGUUGUAAUUUCAGUUUUAUUGUGAAAUUGAGAAUUAUGAAUUAGGGUUUGAUCUUGUUCUUCCCCAAAUCAGAAAUUAGGGUUAGAGGAAAUAUAUAAAAAGAAUUAGAAGAUGGAAUUGAUGUAAAGGGGAUUGAGUUAAUGAAGGGUUUGUUCUUAAUUGAAGUAUUAUUGGAUGAAUCGGGGUUAAUAGGAUGUUUUGGGGUCGUGUUGGUGGUAAAUCGAAGAAAUAAGUCUUUCGUGGAAUUGAUUCGGCGUAUUAGCAAACUCAGAGGAUGCUAACUGUUUGGUAAGUCUCCGAUUUGUCUUAAUUAUAGUAGCAUGAGUUGGAUUGUUUUGAUUUCAUAGUUUGUACAAUUAUGGUUUGAACUGAGGUUGAUGUGAGUAUGCAUUUGGAAGUGAACUGAAGUUGCUAUGGGUUAUAGGAAAGAACGAUGAUGAUGUUGGAGUUGUAGUUAAUGGAAUUGCUAUGGGCUGUUGUUACAGCUGAAGGCUGAGUUUGGCUUGGAUUGUUAUGGUUGAUUAUUAGAGUUGAUAUGAGUUUGGUUGAACAUGGAUGAGUGUGAAGUUGGACUUGUUCAGCUAAUGGUGGUGGUGAAGUUAUAGACAGUUGAUCUGAAAUAGGUUCAAGUUGGAUCUGGAGAGGAAAUGAAUGGAACUGUCAGUGGCAGGGAAGAGUUGAGCUGUAGUGAAGUCAUAAUGGUUAUGAUUGAUCCAGUUGAAUGUGAUGCUCGGUGAUUGAAUGUUGAAGUGAUAAUGGUGUUGAUGUUGGGAUUCAAGUGAAUGUGCAAAGAGUAGAGAAUGGAUGUGUUGGUUGAGUUGGGGGUAUUAGCUGUAUCAGCUAGUACUAAUGGAAUUGAUUGGCAGAUCAAUCAAGGUUUAAGAUGAAUGGAAUGAAAUGGAUUGGAGAUUGAUGUUGCUUAGAGAUGGUAAUGCUGAAAUCAGGUUAUAUGAAGUUGAGUUGGUAGUUGUAGAAAGAGAGAAAGCUUGGAACGGCAUUUGCAGUUAGACUCUAUUAACAACGAUCGAUUCAAAGGACGAACCAGUGGAUCGUGGAUCUCGAGGUAAAUGAAUAGAAUUUGCGAAAAGGAAGAAAAGCGCCAAAAUGACUUUGCAUCAGUGCACACGGCGAAAGCUCAUGUGAUUGGAGACCAAGGACAGUGGCGGCAUCAAGGAUGGCAGGUGCUGGACCAGUUUAACAAUGUGUCAUGGGCUUAACAUACAGCUCAGGUACAAUUUUUGGAGGAAAAAAAGGGCUCUGAUUCAUUUUUUUAGUGGACUUUACCACAAGGGUGUUGCACGUGUGUGCAAUGGUGGAGAGAAACUUCAGAAGGGACACCACUUUCUUAAACUUAGCCGUGCUCAAGUUCACAUUACAAAGUUCAGUUUCCGUCCUCAUUAUGACCAGUUCUUACUGCCAAGAUUUAACGCCAGCAGAGUAUGGACCCAAGAGUUAUUUGUGAAUGGUUAGGACUCGAUUUUGAAGGCAACAGAGAAAUUAGGCUUGGGUACCAAUCUAUAUCAGCUGAAGUAAAGAGAUGAAGACCUUGUUAUGCUGCCAUGUCUCCAGAUCAGGUGUCUUUGCCAAGUCUUGCCGUGGCUGAAUUAUGAAAUGAAAUCGAAGUUUGUGAAGGGUUUGGAAAUCGUAAUGUGAGAAGACACAAGUGGUACGAAUUCAGAUUAGAAGAUGGGUUUGCUUUGGCUUGGAAUGUGGACAGAGUUCUGAACGAGAAAGCAGUGAUGAAGCUGCCAUUACUGCCAUUGAAUUUUGAUGAUAAAUGUGUGGUUUCGUGUUUAUGGAUGAUUAAGAAUGUGUGGGUUUGCUCUUGAAUGUGACUUGUUACAGGGAAGGAGCUGUGAGAGGUUACAGAUUCAGCAGAGUUCUAACGAUCAUCAGCUUGCAGGACGCCUAUACACUGUUCGUAGAAAUGCUUGAAUGGCCAGUUCUGCAGCGGUUCCCAUUGUUCACUGAACCAAGUCUCUGCCACUGGUUAACCAUCGUCUGUGUAGCCUUUUGCGAAUGGUCAGGGGAUUAAUUGAAGUUGAGAUAAACAUGGAAACACUGGUCGAAUAUUUGAAGAUUGGGUUUGUAAAACUUGGCUGAAAACCAGAGAAGAAAACUAUAAAAGACGACCUACAGAGAGCAUCAUCACAUACCCCUUGCAACUGCACACAUCUCCAUCAGAGAGGAGCUCUCUGCUCCUCUCCAAACCCUAUCACUUCAGUUCGCAGCAUACAUCAUCUCCCCUGCAUAUAUCUACCAGUUUGCAUACCAUUUCAUUACCACCUGCAUCUCCACCAGCAUAUCUUCAUUAGCAUCUCAUACAUCCACCUUCAUACCAUCUACACCAUCACCACUAUUCCAUAUUUGCACACUGCAUACAUCCUACCACCAACAGCAGCUGCAGUUCAUACCACCAGUCCAUUCACACCAGCACUCCACAACACCAUCGAGAUCAGUCAACAAGCCAGAGCAGCAAUACAACCAUCACAAGAGCACUGCACAGGCCUGAGUUCGAUACCAUCAUUACCACCAUCAUCGCCAUCACCAGUUCGCCAAUCACCUUCACCUGUCAGCAGAAGCAGAAACACCUGGAGCUGCCGAGCACCGAACCAGUAGCAAUCUUUCCACUUCGCAGCCACCAUUCCAUCACCAGGCCACAGUUCCAUUAUCACCAGCAGCGAGCUUCCUUGGUUCACUGCGAUACAACCACCUGUUCGCAUAACUCCACCACUCCCCUUGCUGCUGUUACUUUUGGUUUGCUUGUUUAGUUUCAUAUAUUUUGCUGUUUCUGUGCCAUGAACUCCAGUAGCUAAUUGCAUCCUGAUUAGGGACGAUUUUGAUGUCCGAAACAUGAACUUGAAUUGAUAUUUAAACUGCUUUGUUUUCUCGCAAUUAUUUGGUUAUUGCUCAUUUUUUACCAUGCCAAUAUUGUUAUAUGAAUUAUUCUUGAAUCGUUUAUGUAGCAAAUUGAAUGGUUUAUGGAUGAUUCUAAUGCUAGUUGAGACCUCUUCGACCCGUAAUAGUCUAGAGAGUCUUAAUACAAGUAGUAGUAUGUGGUUAUUGAUGAUGGGAUUUUGUUAAAUAUCCAUGUGUAUUGAAUGACAAUAGUAGAUGAAUCGAGCUUAUGUGUUUGUCACUAGGAAUAGCCUAUCUCAUAGAACUUAAUGCAUUUGUUUAAGUCACACCUAGAGAGCGUACUUCUAAGAAACUUGGCAAGUAGAAUCCGGUAGUCGAGCUUCCGUGACCGGUGAAUUAAGAGAUUGCGGGAUAUUUGAGCGUACUAAAUUUUCUAGGGUUGUUAGUAAUGAGUACUUUGCAGAAACAUAGCUAUAUUGAAAAGAUUCUUGUUUCGUGGCUUAGAAAGAGUCCUUGAUCAUUUUCAUCCUCAUAUUUGCAUUAUUCUUAUUCAGAAAUUGAAUUGGCAACCUAAACUCAACUCUCCCUUAGGAACG